UGUUGCUCCAUUCUCGGCUUUGUCGUUUAUUGUUUGACCGUGUUUUUUUGUGCUUCAAUUUUCUCAUCUGUAAGAUCAGAGUUUCACAAGAUGCUUUCUGAUCAUCUCUAUAGACUGUGAUGCCAAUUAAUGAUGUGUCAAUAUGAAACGAACCGCCUAUGGAAGUAUUGAGUUGCCGUUUACGUAUUAGACUGAAAAACUUAUGAGACUGGAUGAUCCUUUCUCCCCUCCCCACUGGGGAGAUGUAGAGAACUUCUGAAGGGGAGUGAGGUUGGGUUAGCUGACCACCUAGACUCCUCUGUAAAACUAUGAAAUCACAUUGCACCUGUGACGCUUCCUUAUUCGCCUUCCCCAAAGAAGGGUAACAAUAACCACCUAGUUAAAAGGGAAUUGUAAAACACUAUUUACUAGCUCAAAUGACUAAAGAAACAAUGAUAGGAAAGAUGAAGGUGGAUUAAUUUGUCAUAUAUCGGAAAGCUGAGCUGUUCUUCACAUAUUCAUCCAGUCGGCCUUGUAGAAGAGGUCACAAAACAUGCAGCCUAUGAGACUUUUGAAGUAGGCAGUAUCUUCAAAUAAGGAAAAUGAAGAGCUCAUCUAAUGCGUGACAGACUAAAAAUGACUUAUGGGAAUGAUCUUGGGCCUGGGAAGGAUUGAACAAAAGAUUAUUUGCAGGGAAUAGAAAACCAAGAUAAGUGAGAACUACUAUCGAUAUUUUCCUCAUCAAGUUUGCUGUCAAGCCUUGAUGUAUUCUAGGGUAAUAAAAGAACUGGAAUAAUGAACUGGAGGAAUUCCAUGUGAACUGGAAUGACUUCCAGGAAUUGAUGCAGAGUGAAAGGAGCAGAACCAGAAUAUUGUACACAGAGAUGGAUACACAGUGGCACAAUAAAAUGUAAUGGAUGUAUCUGGUAGGUAUGAGAAGCCUGAAACACAAAAUAUAAAGAAAUUAAGAUAACUAGGAGUAAGAACAUGUCAGCAGUAUGAUCUCUACUAGCAGCAAUGCAAUGAUCCAGGACAAUUCUGAGGGACUUGUGAGAAAGAACGCUAUCCACAUUCAGAGAAAGAACUGUGGGUGUAGAAACACAGAAGGAAAAACAACUGCUUAAUCAUAUGGGUUGAUGAGGAUAUGACUGGGGAUGUAGAUGCUAAACUAUCACCCUAGUGUAAAUAUUAAUAAUAUGGAAAUAGGUCUUGAUCAAUGACACAUGUAAAACCCAGUGGAAUUGCACACCAGCUACAGGAGGGAGUUGGGGGGAGGGGAGGGAAAGAAAAUGAAUCUUGUAACCAUGGAAAAAUAUUCUAAAUUAACUAAUUAAAUAAAAUUCUCCCCAAAAACAAGAAAACAAACAAAUAAAUAAAAACCAGAGUAAAAAAAAGAAAUCCACAGAAUUAAACUUUUCUACCUGAUCAAAAUUAUGGUAGGUAUAAAAUACUCAACCCCUUGGUCAUUCUCCUGUCUUUUUCAAGGAGUUCAGCUCUUGGCUUACAAUCUUUCUUUCCUUCUCAAAUCUUGACCUUAUACUAGGAGACUUUUAUCAUUCAUGUAGAUGUUCUUUUAAAUUUCCUAACCUCCAAUUUCAUAGAUCUCCUGAAGUUCUUUGAUCCCUCUCUUCAUUCUACUUCAGCCACACAUAUUGACACACUAGAUCUUGCCCUUACCUACAAGUGUUUGUUCUACUUCCUUGAUUAGAAAUUCUGAUGUUCCCCAUGUAAACUAUCACCUCCUCUUAUUCCAAUUUUCUUUAAGUUUAGCUCUUCUUAGACUUGUUCUUUGCUCUUCAGACCCUUGUUCUCCUCUGUACAUUUUUCAGCUAUAACCUCUGGCCUGAAUUCAUUUUCCUUUCUUCAACUUCAGUCCAGUAAAUGGCCAUGUCCAUUCUAUUUUCUUCUCUUGAAUCCUUGCUUCCUUGUCCUAUCCUGCUUUUCUUUUGUUAAACUUCAGCUUCAGAUUAUUCCCACCAUCUACAUCCUCUAUUCCCAAUCUGUUUAACAGAAAAUUGCUUAACAAAACUAGAGGGAAUCCCACAACCAUUCUGAUUGGGAUUUCUAACCCCAAAUUAGAUUCUCACUGCAGCAAGACAGUCCUUUUGUUUCUCCGUAAUAAAUUACCUAUCUCACUUCCCACAGUAGCUCUUUUAAACCAUUUUUCCCCUCCUGAAGCUCCCCAUAUCUCCUUCCCCUUCUCUGAGCUAUGAACUUUUGCACUAUUCAAGGUAUACUCCCUCUUCUUCCAUUCUCAUCAUUUCAGAAAUUUUUUACAUCAUCUCCCACUAAUGACCUUCUUUCCCAGUUUCUGACAAAGAGGUGGCUCUUCUCCUUGCCAAGACCAACCCAUGUAUUUCUUUGAUCCCAUCCAUUCUCGUCUUCUCUGGCAGAUUGCAACUUCAGUCUUCCACACUCUUUCUCAAAUUGUCAACCUCUCCCUUUCAGUUAUUUCACUUUUUUCUACCUUCAAAAAUACCCAUCUCCCUGUCCUUAAAAUUUCUUUACUAGAUCCUUCCAUCCCUGUAAGUUAUUUGAUAUCUCUCUUUAGACAAACUCCUCAAAAAAUAGGUCUACACUCACUGUUUUUACUUCCUUUGUCGACUCACUCUUCAACCCCUUGUAUUCUGGUUUUCAACCUAAUCGCUCCAUUGAAAUUGUUCUUUCCUAAAUUACCAAAGCACUUAAUUGUCAAACAUCAUACUCUUUCCUCAGUGCUAAUUUUUCUCACUGUGUUUGCUACAUUUGAUACCUUUGACCCUUUUUCUUCCUGGACACUCUUUCUUUUUUGGUACUUUUGUGAUACUACUCUCUCAGUGCUCACCUCCUACCUUUCUGGCCAUUCCUUCUCAGUAUCUUUUGCUUACCUUCAUCUAGUUCAUUACCUCUGAGUGUUGGUGUUACCUGUAGUUCUGUCCUUGGACCCUCUUCUCUCUUGGUGAUCUCAUCAUCUUCCACGGAUUUAACUGUCAUUUCUAUGCACAAGACUCUCAGAUCUACAUUUCUCUCUAAUUUCUUUUUCUCUCCUUCUCCUAAUUUCAGUUCUAUCUCACUGACUGCAUGGUGGAUUAUUUCAAAAUAGGUGUCCUGGAGAUAAUGAAUUAUUUUUUUAAACCCUUACCUUUCUGUCUUGGAGUCAAUACUGUGUAUUGCCUCCAAGGCAGAAGAGUGGUAAGGGCUAAGCAAUGGGGGUCAAGUGACUUGCCCAGUGUCACACAGCUGGGAAGUGUCUGAGGCCAGAUUUGAACCUAGGACCUCCCAUCUCUAGGCCUGGCUCUCAACCACUGAGCACCCAGCUGCCCCUAAAGCUUCCCCUUUUUUAAACUUCCCUAUUUCUGUUGAAGAGUAUCUUGAUAUUAUUCCCAAUUCUUCACUCUCAUUCACUAUAUAUGGCUAUUGAGAUGUAAAAUCUUUCCAUUUUUUAACUUCACAACAUCUUUUAGAGUCAACUCUGUUAACACAACUACCAAUCUAGUUCAGACACUCAUCUCUUCUCAACUAGAUUAUUACAACAACCUCCUAAUUAGUCUUCCUGCUUCAAAUCUACCAUAUUCCAGUCUAUCCAACACACAGCUGCCAAAGUAAUUUUCUUAUAACCCUCCUCUAUUAACUCCAGUGGCUUCCUAUUACUGCUAGUGUAAAGUACAAAUUAUGUUUACUUUUUAAAGUUUUACACAAUCUUAUAUGAACAAGGCACUUUGACUUUCCUUAGGCUGAUCAGAGUUAUCAAUUCUCUUGUACCCUGGGGCCAUUAUUAAUAACUAAAUAGCAUUAGUAAAACAAAGAGACGUACUGCACUGGUGAGGACAUGAUUUGUUACAAGGGAGAACUGUAAGGGAAAAAUUAGGGGUUAUUGACUGAAUAUAUUAUACUAGUGGUAACUAGGGAUUCAAUCCCAAUAAAAUACUCAAGCCAGUUUGGGAUUUCUAUGGUGGUUUAAUUACAAUAGAGGGAAGAAAUUAAGAAGAGAGAGAGAAAAGGAAUUUGGACUGUUCUGGCAAGCCAGAUAGGAGUUCAGAGGUGUAGGCCAAGGGGCCUUCUCAAUCUAGCUUGGCUUCCAGCCACCAGGCCUCCUUUGAGAUGAGGGACCUCUGUAAUAAGGGACAAUUUUGAUUGGUAAUUGAUAACUAAAGAUCAGGUUGUUACCUACUUUCUUCCUCCCUUUUCUUCCCUUCAGCCUCCCUUUUCCUCCCCUCCCCCCUCCGUCUUCUUCUUUCUUCUAAAUCAACUUUGGGUGAGUUUAUGAGGUCUCAAAUGAAAUACUCUUUCUCUUAUUUAUCUUAAAUAAGGGGUUUAUUUGAGGAAGACAGGAAAGGAUAAGAAAUGGAGGUAAGAGGGUUAGGUAUUUCCCUAUUACUACAAUGAGUCUUAGGUUGGAGGAUGGUGAAAUAUAAUUCAAUUGAGAGAAAUGGCUGAUAGGACUGGAAGUUCAGUCAGUAUCACAACAGAGCAAAUCAAGAGAGAGAGAGAGAGAGAGAGAGAGAGAGAGAGAGAGAGAGAGAGAGAGAGAGAGAGAGAGAACUGGACUUUGUCCUUCUUUCUUCUGUCUUCAAAGCCAAAAGACAACCUGUCCUUUCUGUCUUCAAGGUUAAAGACAUAACCCUUCAGUUGGUCUAUUCCUUUCUUCAACUGCUUCUCCCAGUAACAUUUCAAAAAGAACAUUCUCAUUUGAAUGACAGGUCAUCAGUCUCAGAUACUCCUGUCUUGUUGCAUGCUUUCCCACUUUCUCUCUUCCAUGCCUCCUAGGAGGAUAGUGUUUUAGGAAGUAAAGGAAAAAAGGAAUCAGCCUAAUCCAUUCACCAAGCUCAUUAAGGACCCUGCUAUGAACUCCCAAUGCUGAAAGAGCCAAACAUCUCCAUGAGAGAGGCUUUCCUCCAGAAAGAGGAAGUGACAUGAAAUAUAUAGACUGUUCUUUACAUCACUUCCUAUGUCACACAUGUACCAAUGGUAACUUAAGCUUGACUUAGGGCAGUCCAGGGGGUCUGCCAGUUGUUUCUGAUUUGUCACUUGCUAGCACAUGUGGUCAUAGGCCAACUUCCUCAAUACUUAAUCCUUAAGUAGGGGUGUAUACAUUCCUGGUUGCUAGGAUUUUAAAGACUAAUCAGGGUGGAGAAAAUCUAAAAUUCACAGAACUCCAGACAAAGACUGAUGUGGUAGUUAUUGUUUGGUACAAAAUAAUUUAAUGACUCACACUAAUACUUCUCAGAGCAAGAAUGAACGUGAUUGGGUGAACUGCUGCAAAACUUCAUGCUGUUUGGGGAAAUGGUGUGGAUUUAGUGCAUAACUAAAUUUUUAAAUUUUACAUAUUUUUCUGCCUUUAUUUUUUUUUAAAUUGCCAGUUGUGCAUACAGGAAUUCGAAUGUGUUGAGUUCAUGUAAAACAAGGUCCUACUGUGUGUGUACAUAUACACACAUGUGUAUAUAUAUAAUUAUUAAUUUUAUAUUAUUGAUAUUUUAUACAUACUUACUAUUUUUCCUAUUAGAAUAUAAUUCCAUAAUGAUUGUUUCAUUCUGUACCUGUAUCUUCAGCAUCUAGCACAGUGUCAGCAUAUAGUAGCUACUAAAAAAUGUCUGUGAUUGAUUGAUUCAUAUUCCUGUUGCUUAGGAAGUAUGAUGAAGGGUUGAAGAACAUACCAUAUGAAUUGGUUGAAGAAACUAGGGAUGUUGAUCUUGGUGAAGAGAAGACUUAAGGAGAAACUUGAUAUUAUGUGGGAAAGGGAUUAAAUUUGUUAUCCUUCAUAACAGUGGAUAUCUGCAGAGGCAUAUUUAGGCUUGAUAUAAGAGAAACUGCUAAGCAAUUUGAGCUAUCCAAAAAUGGAAUGGGCUCCUUCAGUAGGUACUAGGGCUCUCUCUCAGUAGUGGUAGGUCUUUUGGCAGAGAUUUGGGUUACCAUUUUUUGGGAAUGCUGAAGUAGGGAUUAUUGUUCAAAUCUGUAUUGACCUCUAGAUAGUGGGUGUAGAAAAUUCUGAGGAGCCUUCCAGUUCAGAAAUCCUGUAAUUCCAUAGGUGCUAAACUAAAUAGGGGAGUGGACCUGAAGUCAUAUAAAAGGAAGAAAAUCAAUUAGUGGGAUUAAGUUUGUUUAAUCUGGAGAAGAGAAAGCCUAGGGUUGAGUUCCUAUUCCUUGAAGAUAUUUAAGUUGAGACUGAAUGACCAUUGAUCAGGGGUAUUGCAGAAGGAUUCCUGCUUAUUAUCGUUUUGAAGAGAGCUUUCAGAGCUUCCUUUCACCUCAGAUUCUGUGCUUUUAAGACUUGGCUUUCAAGUGGAAGGAAUCUUGGCUUAUAUAUUAGAAAUCAACAUUUAUUCUUUUGCAGUCUUAUUGUACUAGGCAUUGACAGAAAGUUAAAUUGAAGUCUGAUUUGAUGGAUUACAAUAGGUCUCUCUAGGGAUAAUUUAAAGCCUUCUUAAAAGUCCUAGUGAGAAACUUGCCAAGACUGUGAGGACGAUAGUGCCUAAAGAAAAACACACAUCACACAGUUAGGUCAAAAUUGGAAUUGUAACCAGAUUUAAAACUCCCUCAGAAUGAAUGAUGGUGCUUUCAAUUUAGCUGUCCUGUGCAAUGCCAUAAAUUGGAUUUGCUAUAGUUUUAUGCUUUUUGGGAUUCCUCUUAAUUCUAGAGCCUUUUAUGUUGAUUAUUUCCAGUUUUUCCCUGUGUAUAUAACUAGUUUAUCCCAACUCAUUUGCUUGUUGUCUGUCCCAGCUCCUGAAGAGAGCUUAUCUUUGACUCUUUCUUUUUAUCUUAGUAUAGUGUAUAACACAUAGUAUACACUUAAAUAAUUUUUUAUUGGAUGAUUAACUUACCAUAUCAACAGUGUUCCAUCUGUUACUUCAAAAAAGAUUGCUUUUUAUUUUUAACUUCUUUUUAUGGCCCUGGAAUUUGACUGAAGAUCACACACAUGAGAGUGAAAGAAAGAGACAGAGAGAGACACAGAGAGAAUGAGAAUAAAUCUUCAAGUAAAUUCAUCAUAAUGGAUCCAACCAACCUUUCCUUGGUUCUCAAAGGUGGUACCUACUCUUCUAUUUAGGCUAGCCAUUACUUACCUCAUUCUUCCUAUUCCUACUGGCCCACUUCCAUUGUUCACAGGUAAAUAUUACAUAUAAACUUCCAGACUUCAUUCUCCAUCUUCCAUUUUAACCCUGCUAGUUUAUCCUCCCUUCAAUUUAGAGCCUGUGAGGGAGGGGUUAGGUGAUUUGCUUAGUUAGCAUCACAGAGCCAGUAUGUAUAUGAAGGAAGCCUGGAAACCCAGAUUGUCCUGGCUUUGAAGACUAUUCUCUUUCUGUCUCUUAUGCCCCAUUGCCAUUCACUAAAAGUAUUCUUUAUGUGUAUAUAUGUGUGUGUGUGUGUGUGUGUGUGUGAUUCAACACAUCUUUUGAGUGCUACAUUCAAGUGUUUUGUGCACUGUAGGGGAUUCAAAGAAGAAUGAAAUAUGGUGAAAUAAUUAUCGGAGAGGUGAAAUGUGAAAGUUCAAUAAGAGUGAUACAAAAUAAAAAAUGCUUUGUAUGCUCAUGUAUGUAUGGGGAUGUAAAAAUGGAGAUUUUGAACCCUAGACUUAAAUCCCCAGAAGUCCUUGGUAUUUCCCAGAAUUCCCUAUAAUCUCACCUGAGUCUCCACGUAGGCAGGAUCACAAUUGGUAUUUAACUGGCAGUAAAGCCUCCCACAUGCUCUGCUCUUCAAGUGCAAUGAUGUAAGAAGUUAGUGGUAAGCUAAGCGCUGGGAUUCUGAAUUGACUAAUCAGCCAUGGGCACAUGGUUUUUAUUUUGUAUCUUCUUUAUUCCUUGAUUUCUAAUAACCCUUAAUGAACCUCAUAAAAUAUAAUAUUUUAUUACUAGAUACUAAUUUAAUUUUUACAGGGACCAGGGAUCCCUCUGUCCCAAAGAAUGAAGAAAGUGGGCUUCCCUGAGCCCAAAGCCUCAAAGGAAUUAACUUAACAAGUUAUCCUUUUACUUUUCCCUCAUCCCCAAAAUGUUUACAGGUUCUCCCUGGGAUCUGGGGCUGGGCCAGCUGUUGUCAUUACCACCUUUGAUUGCCAGGGUCCAAAUGCUUCCUUUUCUGUCCUGUCUGGGCCUGUCUCUCUGAAAUUUUAGCCAUAUGAUGCUAGAUAGGUGCUUUUCCUAAGGUAACUAAAAGAUGGAUUUAAAAGUUUGUAGUUUCUGAUUGAUUUGAUUGGUAUAGCUCAGGGGAUGUCUUAGAACCAGUUUCUUACCUUUACUUUAGCCUCUUUGGUUGACCUUGGUAUCCUCAAAAUUUUUUUCUUAGCCAUUGUUCUAAGCUCUUGUCGAGGCCAAGUGUCUCUAGAAAUCUGCCUCCUUGGAAGUUUUACUUUGGAUAUUUCCGUAUCAUGCUACUUCCCUUCACCUGUCUCCUCCUCUUCUGUUCCAGAAGCCCCAGAUUCCCUCUUAGACCUCCCUGCCUAAAGAAAGCCCUUUGCUUUCAUACGUGCCCUGAGUUAGCAUGUCACAUAGUUCCCACCCUUACAUCAAUAGCUCUACCCACCUCCUAGGAGACUUUCUGGUAUUACAUCAGCCUGGGUUGAUGGAACCCAAGAAACUGGGGCUAACUAUCUGCCAAAGGGUCUUCCAAAUCUUGUCAUUUCUGCUUUAUCACAAAAAAUAUUUUCAACAUAUAUCCUGGGUUAUAAAAAGUUUCUAAUAAAAAAGGAAAAUCUUAUUUUGCUUCAGGUGCAUUCAGAUGUUACAUGGGGGUCAGAACUGGAGCUCUGGAUUUAUAUAGAACAGGUUUAAUCUUUAGAUCCUCUCCCACAUCUUAUUUUAGCUCAUUCUUCAUUUAGCAUUCCUUUGGGGAACAUCUAGAUCUUGACAAAAAGAGAAAGGCCCUCUGAUUUUGUGCAAGUACUAGAUUAAUAAAUAUAUCUAAUAUAGGACAGGUUUUAUUAACUUGAUAAGCACAAAACAGAAAGAAUCAUACUUAAGUUUGUGAUUUGUCAAAACAAUUCUCCAUUCUUCUCUGGGAGGUCUCUACCUUCCUUAGGGGACUUAAUAUACCCCUACUCUGAGGUUGAAUGCCUCUACAAAGGGAGAACACUCAGAGCUGUGAGAGAAUCAGGCAUCUUUAUUCAUUUUGUGAGCCUCCACCUUCCCUAGCCACUUAUGUACAAUCCUUCAUUUAUAUAGGAAAUACUCAAGAACUGAGGUUGUCCCACCAGGGGAAAGUCCCUAGAGAAUCAACCCUUUUCCCACAGACCUGUACAGUUUAUGAUUCAGACUAUCAUUUGAGGACACGUGUACUCUUUUCUAUCUUGGUUCUGUCCCUUGCUGCUCUUUGACUCCAGUUUGCCUCAGUUCAGGAACUCUUCCAACUGGUCCAGGCACUCACCACCACGGGAACUUAUUGCCAAUUACUGCCAGUGAAUAUUUCCUGCCUAUAAUCCAAAGUUUUCCGACAUCAUAAUGCAAAAGUAUUUCUGUGAUACUUUGACAAAAUUAACAGAGUUUGUCUUGUCUUGUUAAUAAGAAGGAUCAUAAAAUGUUAAAUUCUUGAAAAAGCACUAACUCUGUUGUUUUAUUUAUAUAUACAUAUAUAUAUGACUUGAAUUUACUACUUAGUCUCUCUAAGCUUCAGUUUCCUUAGCUACAGAAUAAGUAUGAUAUUGCAGAUAAUCUGCUUUACUUAGUUGUGUGUAUCAAAUGAGGUGCCAGAUAUAAAAUACUUUCUUUUUAUUUUUUAAUUAAAAAGUUUGUUACAUUAAAAUUCCUAGUUACCUCCUAACUUCUCUCCCAUCCCCACAAUAGAGAAGACAUUAUUUGACUAUAUAUAUUAUAUAUAUAUAUAUAUAUAUACACACACAUAUAUGGUUCUUUUAAUUUCAUUCUUCAUAAUUUCAUGUAGGACUUUUCAUAUUUAAAAAAAAUUAACCUCUUGUCAUUUCUUAUGGCACAGGAGUAUUCUAUCCCAAUCAUAUGCCACAGCUUGUUCAGCCAUUUCUCAAUUUAUGGGUUAACCCCCUCAAUUUCUAGCUCUUUGCUACUACAAAGUGAACUGCUAUAAAUAUUUAAAAAUAUAUAGGUUGUUUUCCUUUUUCUCUGAUCACCUUAGAAAACAAACUUAAUAGUGGCAUUGCUGGAUCAAAAACUCUUUGGACAUAAGCCCAGAUUGUGCUCCAAAAUGCUUGGAUCAGUUAGUUCAUUGUUGGUAGAACUGUAAAAUGCUUUAUAGAUUAUAAAAUGAUAUAUUCAUAUACAUAUAGCAGCUUAUGGAAAGAGCCCUGAAUUUAGAAUUUGAGGACCUGAAUUUGAAUCUUAGAUCUGGUGCUUAUUUCUUGCCACUUUGGCAGAUCCCUUCCCUUCUCUCAGCCUCAGUUUCCAUAUGUGUAGUUCUAAAUCCCAUUAAUAAUUCAAAUAAUACAAAAAAGUCAGAAAAUAAAAUCAGUAUCUGGUAACACAAGAUACAAGGAGAGACCAGAAUAAGGCAAGAAUCCCAGGGAAGGGGGAGAGAAAGGAGAAAAGGAGAGAAUUUGGAGCUCAAAAUUUCAAAAAGUGAAUGCUAAAAUUUUUUUUCAUGUAAAUUGGGUGGUGGGAAAGAAUCUAGAUAGAAAGGUAGGGUAUAGAAGACAGAGAAAGCCUCUAGGACUUCCUGGAAGAAGCUGAGGACCAUACUUGUAGUUUACCAACCCCAGAUCAGAAUGUUUGGUCUUACAAAGACUCUUUAAAGUUGAAGCUGCCCCAGAAAUUCUGGAACCAGAUGCAUGAUUGCCGGACAGAAUCCCUCUCUCCAGCACUGUUAGCAACCUUCCCUUAGAACCAUUCCUUUUUGACUUCUCUAUUUUUCUCUUCUUCCAUCCAACCACCUAGUCAUACUUUAGGGUAGGCUUUACAGUAGGUUCCCCCUUGCCUUGCCAUCUGUUUAAUGAUAUCUAAAAUUUUUUCAAUGGCAAUGAAGUCAUUCAGUGCAGAGAAGAAGAUGGACAAAAACUUCCCAGCAAAUGGGGAGUGAUGAAGUAUUCUGACCAGAGAUUUCUUGUCUGUUUUUAAAUUGGAUAUAGUGAUCACUUAUGCAAACUAGGCCAUCAGUCCUGGAGCUGAACAAAGUAGCCAACUAGUGCUUAAUGAUUAUUCAUAUUUGAGGAGAUUAGUUGGGCCUAAAGCUCACAAUUUCUACAGGAUACUGUCUUCUAUUUCUUUCUUUCUUUUUUUUUUUUAAACCCUUACCCUCUAUCUUGGAAUCAAUACUGGGUAUUGGUUCCAAGGUAGAAGAGUGGUAAGGGCUAGGCAAUGGGGGUUAAGUGACUUGCCCAGGGUCACACAGCUGGGAAGAGUCUGAGGCCAGAUUUGAACCUAGGAUCUCCAUCGUCAUCUCCCAUCUGGUUCUCAAUCCACUGAGCUACCCAGCUGCCCCUCUGUCUUCUAUUUCUCUAUGACUAGGAGACUCAUUGUGACAUUCCCAAGCUAAAACUUCAUAUUCCAUUUAAAUUUCUGCAAGGAUCCAAAUGUUUACUUCAUUGGUACCAGGCUAUAGUUAAAUAUCAUCUAAUUUUAGUGAAAUAGGUGUUUCUUUUAGCAAUGCAAAUGGUAUUACUUCUGUACCUCAGUAGAUCUGUUUUGUGAGUUGUGGCCAAAAAAUACAUUACUUGGGCAACCUAUUGUUAAUCAGUUUCUUUUCACCCAGAUAGGCACUUGAUCACUCAACUCUCUGCCAUUGGUUCCAUUCUCCAAUCUUUUCUAGUUUAAUACAUGGUCAGUUUCUCAAUGAAGGAUCAAGUUCUUAGUUUCUCAAAAUAGAUUCAUGACUGUUAUCACUUCUUCUGCCUUAGCUGUGCUGAGUCUUGGAAGGAAAUAGCAUUACCAGACCUCCCAGAACAUUCAAAUACAUCUCACUACUGUAACUGCAGUCUGGUGUGCCUUCAGUAAUAUAACAAGUGGUGUAACUGAGCUAAUAACAGAGCUGGUAUAAAAAAGCAGAAAGGUGAAGUCAUUCAAGCUACAAUCAUUUAUCAAACAUCUUUGUUUUUAGUUGAGUAAGAAAGGCUCAAAGAGAGCAGGGGAAGGGAAGAAACUCAAGUUCUGUUGUAGAGUUUUUCUCAACUCAGAAAAAUGCAUUUUUCCCCCCUUUUAAGACUGGGAACCUUUUGAAGGUAUGGCCUCUGUCCUCUAUGUCUUCCAUAGCACUUUGUUCAACUGCUAGCAACUUAAAUAGGUAUAUAUGUAUGCUUCCUCUAGCAGGUGCUUUCUAGUAGGGAUGGGAUUUUAGGUCAUCUUCUUUGGCUCUGGGCUAUGCUUCUCUAUUGUUGAUUAUACUUCCUUCUCUGCAUCUAUUACCUUAAUUGACCAUUACCCUAAUUCAAGUCCUAAUCACCUCAUGCAUGAAUAAUAGCCUUCUAAUUGGUCUCUCAUGCUCUUCUGUCAAUCUGUUUUCUAUACAAGUGCUAAAAUAAUAUCCCUAAGGUACAGUUCUAAUCAUGUAAUUCCCCAGCUCUAAAACCUAAACAACUAGGACAAAGGUUCUUUACAUUUCUGAGUAUACCUUAUAAAGUUUUUGAUAAUUUGGUGAAAUCUAUGGACCCCUUCUCAGAAAAUGAUGUUUUAAAAUACAUAGAAUAACAUAGGGUAGCAAAGGAAAAAAAUCAUAUUGAAAUGAAGUUACCAAAAUAUUUUUAAAAAAUAAGUCUACAGACUCUUAAAAAUCUCAUUUUGUGGUAACUUAUAAACUUCAUCAGACAGGCAUUUAGGACUUGCAUAGACUGGCUUUUUUCUACUUUUCUAGCCUGAUUUUAUACUAUUUUCCUUCAUAAGUUCAAACCAUUUUGGUACUAGUAUUAUUAGCAUGGGCAUCCAGUAUGUUUAAGUUCUAUUGCAGCUCAUAACAACCAAACUCAUAAUGGUUUACCAUUCUCAGCUUCUCCAGCAUUAGAGACAAUAUAAGUAUGCCAUUAUAUUUGGUAGCUUUCUGGUGACUACUGAAUGGGAACAAAAAGGAGUUUAUAUACUGAUAGCCUUGAUAUGCCUAAGUCCCCUUCCCCCUCUUUCCCUAUUAGCUUUCCCCUUUCCCCUGCACCUGUUGAAACUGCAAAACAAAAGCAGCUGUUCCUCUUGCUAGAAUAUUAUUACUUUCCAUGCUGUCACCUGUCAAAUUCAUGAUGGAUUGAUGAUCUGAAUUUAUACUGCCUGUACUAUGCUAAGAACUAUACAGUCAUGGGAACCAGCUGCCCUCCAUCCUGAAAUGACCAAUGAGAUUAUUCCCAGAUUUCCUAAUCCCUAUACCCCUAAUUUAACCAAAUCCAUAAAAAUCUAUGUUUCCCCCUGCCCAAUUGAGGUCCUUUGCUAGCUCUCUUCACUUUGGGUUUCCCCUUUUGACUUUGCUGCACCUAAUAAAUCUUGCUGAAUCACCCAGUAGUCUCAUAUUGUCUCUUGUGUUGGACCCCUGUCAACCAGGACUGACACAUAUUUCUCUGACCUCCAUAGUAACUUUACCAAAAUUAACAUAAGGAAUAAAAACUUAAAAAAUUUUAAAUGCAGAAAAUCAGAAAUUACUAAACACAUCCUUUAUUGACUACUUUAUGGCAAAAGGUAUUCAAUAAAAGGCCUUUAAAGAAAGAAUUAAACUUAAUUCUAAAUAACUAAAUUAAAUCUUUAAAAAAUGGUGGAUCAAAGAAUAAUCAUAGAACAACAGAAAAAUUUUGUUAAUGACAAUUAACUAACAUACCAAAUGAGGCAACAUACCAAAUUUAUGGGAUAAAGCAAAAGCAAUCCUUAUGGGAAAAUUUCUAUCACUAAGUGUUUUAUCUAAAGAAAAUAAGAAUAAAUUAUGUUGGACAAGUAAUUUUGUAGAAAAUUAAAAAACCAAUAAAUCAAAAUCUCUCAUCUUAACACCAAAGAAGAAAUUUUAAAAAUCAAAGAUUAGGUUAACAAUUAAAAACAAAAAGUCUCACUAAAAUGAAAAAAAAAAACCCAAAAUAUUUUAAUUAACAAAAUAGAUUAAGUAUUAAAAGUCAUUUUUAAGAUAGAAAACCCAAAUUGUAUCAAAAUUGAAAAAGUAUAAUUCAUAACAGAUGAAGAAAAAAUAAAGGAAACUGUCAAAUUAUUUUGCCCAAUUAUAUGCCAAUAAAACUGAUAACUUAGUUGAAAUGAAUGAAUAAUUAAAGAUAUAAAGUACUUAUUAACAUAAGAAUUAGAUUGUCUAGGUCAUUCAGAAUCAGAAGAAAUUGAAUUCUGUCAAACAAAAGAAUAAUUAAUUCUAGCAUUACAUAAACUGGAAAAAAUAGAAAAAGGAGGGAUCCUAUCAAACUCUUUUUAUGAUACAAAUAUAAUCUUGAUAUCUAAAGCAGGGAGAGACAAAGCAGAAAAAGAAAACUAUAAAUACUCUUUUUUUUUUUAACCCUUACAUUCCGUCUUGGAGUCAAUACUGUGUAUUGGCUCCAAGGUAGAAGAGGGGUAAGGGCUAGGCAAUGGGGGUCAAGUGACUUGCCCAGGGUCACACAGCUGGGAAGUGACUGAGGCCAGAUUUGAACCUAGGACCCCUGUCUCUGGGACUGGCUCUCAAUCCACUGAGCUACCCAGCUGCCCCCUAUAAAUACUCUUAAAGAACACUGAUGCUAAACUCUUAGUGAGGAGAAUACAAUAUAUUUAAAAGAUUUUGCAAUAUGACCAAGUUAGAGCUAUGCCAGAAAAACAGUAUUAAUUCAUUGUAAAGAAAACUAUAAAUAUAAUAGACCAUUUUAAUAACAAAAAAUGCUCCAAGCCCACAUGAUUAUAUCAUUAGAUGCUGAAAAGGCUUGUGACAAAAUUAACAUUUGUUUAUCACAAAUACUAAAAUCAUUGGAAUAAAUGAACUUUUCCUUUACAGGGUAAGUAUUCUUUAUUCAAGAACAAACAUAUGUAAUGGGAAAGACUUUGAGGGCUUUCCAAAGAAGAGAAAUAAAACAAGGAUGCCCGUUAUCAUAAUUAUGUACUAUGUUAUUAGAUAAAUUAAAGCAAUAAUCAAGAAAUAGAGGGAAUAAGCACAAACAAAGGGGAAAUGAACCUAUUUCUUUUGCAGAUGAUAAUGAUGAUCUACUUAUAGUAAAGAUUUUAAAAAAUUUUGAUGGGACCUUUUUUAAAAUUCAAAUUUAUUUUAUUUCCAUUUCCAAAUUCUCCCAUUCUCUCACUCAUGGAGAAAGAAAAAACAAAACCCAUUAUGAAUAUGUAUAGUCAUACAAAAUAAUUUCUUACAUUAGCCAUGAUAUCUUAAAAAAAAGAGAGAGAGAGAGAGAAGAAAAUAUGGUCCAGUCUGCUUUCUGAAUCCAUCAGCUUGUUUCAUUAUGAGUCUUGUGGUAUUGAUCAGAAUUCUUAAGUCUUUUAAAGUUGAAUUUACAAUAGUGUUACCAUUCUGUAUUCUCCUGACUUUAAACACUUUGCUUUGUAUCAGUUCAUAUGAGUCUUUCUAGAUUUUUCUUAAAUCAUCCCGUUCAUCAUUUCUUCUUUUGUUUUUU
This is a non-coding RNA of Monodelphis domestica (gray short-tailed opossum), 15397 nucleotides long. NCBI's taxonomy places the organism in Eukaryota, Metazoa, Chordata, Mammalia, Didelphimorphia, Didelphidae. The record is from RefSeq and is a predicted model, not a curated record.